CCAAUAGCGUAUAUUAAAGUUGUUGCAGUUAAAAAGCUCGUAGUUGAAUUUCGGGAUUGACACAUCGGUCGUGCCUUAAGGGGCAUGAACUGGUGUAGUCAAUUUCUCACCUUCUGGAGAACCGCGAUGCCCUUAAUUGGGUGUCACGGGGAACCAGGACCUUUACUUUGAAAAAAUUAGAGUGUUUAAAGCAGGCAUUUUGCUUGAAUACAUUAGCAUGGAAUAAUAAAAUAGGACGGCAUGAUUCUAUUUUGUUGGUUUCUAGGAUCACCGUAAUGAUUAAUAGGGAUAGUUGGGGGCAUUAGUAUUCAAUUGUCAGAGGUGAAAUUCUUGGAUUUAUUGAAGACUAACUACUGCGAAAGCAUUUGCCAAGGAUGUUUUCAUUAAUCAAGAACGAAAGUUAGGGGAUCGAAGACGAUCAGAUACCGUCGUAGUCUUAACCAUAAACUAUGCCGACUAGGAAUCAGACGAUGUUAAUUUUUUAAUGACUCGUUUGGCACCUUACG
This 506-nucleotide ribosomal RNA is filed under the name uncultured Glomeromycotina. RNAcentral describes it as "partial small subunit ribosomal RNA". It matches the Rfam family "Eukaryotic small subunit ribosomal RNA", at positions 591 to 1092 of the family's 1831-position model. Lineage: Eukaryota; Fungi; Glomeromycota. The record is from RNAcentral.